UCCAGACUGAGAGAUGGUGCUGCUGAUGCUGGAAGUGGUGGUUUCACAGAUCUGCUCCCCCAGGAGAGUAUCUUCGGGUAGCAGCGUCUCUGCCCACAGCCGGCAGAUGCCAUCGAGGCAUGAUCUGUUGCAAAAUAUUCACCAUCAGGAGACCAUGACAUCAAAUGUACUGAUGUUGCAGUCCUACAGAACACAAGAGCAAGUUAAGUAAGAUCUAUUUAUUCUAAAAUAUUAUUCCAUAGGUAUUCAGUUGAUUCAGUGUUACUGCUCAUUAUUUAAAUUUAAUAUUAAAUUAAAUAAAAAUUAGAUUAAGCAUUUUAUAGUUGUUUUGUUAAGCAUACUUUUUGAAUAGCAGGAGCAUAAAAGUAUUGUCAUACUUUAUUGAAAAGACAGCUCAAAAAAUGGUUUAAGUACAGCAAGCCUAGGUUAGAUAGGUUAGAUUCAACAGGAGUGAGGAUUUUUUAUUUGAAAUAACUUAUAUUGUUUGAAUUUUAGGGUCUUUAAAAGCACAUUUUAAAAUACAGGUGAGGUAGCAUUGCAAUUUGUCUUAAAACAAAAAUGAUCUCACUUGCACUGCCAGACACAUUUCCAGUCAUUUAGAACCGGGAGAACUUUAUCAUCCUUGAUCUGAUUGCUGUCAUCAUCAUCUUCAUCUUCUUCUAGAAUGUCAUCAGAUGGAGGGGCCCACAAUUGCAAAAAGUCUGUAGCUGUCAAUAACCUGUCACCUGAAAGGGAGUGGUACCAAAGCUAUGGAACCAGGGUGAUGAAGUUUGAGAGGACCCUUGGACAAAUUUGUGUUUUAUCAGCCUCAGUAAUGGAAGGCAGAUGCUCUUCAGCAGCGGGCAGGCUUCGUCAGAGCCCCAGUGCAACUGGCUGUGUGCGCUUUGCGGACGAGAUAUAAACACACACAGACACACAAAUAUAUUUUAAAAAAAUUAAAAAAUAAAGACAGACAAAA
Long non-coding RNA from Haemorhous mexicanus (house finch), 958 nucleotides. RefSeq lists it as uncharacterized. The record is from RefSeq and is a predicted model, not a curated record. NCBI's taxonomy places the organism in Eukaryota, Metazoa, Chordata, Aves, Passeriformes, Fringillidae. The transcript has 3 exons.